Branchiostoma floridae (Florida lancelet) is the source of this 1019-nucleotide long non-coding RNA. RefSeq lists it as uncharacterized. The record is from RefSeq and is a predicted model, not a curated record. Lineage: Eukaryota; Metazoa; Chordata; Leptocardii; Amphioxiformes; Branchiostomatidae. The transcript is spliced from 7 exons.
AGAGUUUUGAUGUCGUUGAUGCGAGGUUGUGCCAGCUCUAGAUGUUCAUGAGAGUUUUGAUGUUGUUGAUGCGAGGUUGACAGCUCUAGAUGUUCAUGAGAGUUUUGAUGUCGUUGAUGCGAGGUUGUGACAGCUCUAGAUGUUCAUGAGAGUUUUGAUGUCGUUGAUGCGAGGUUGUGACAGCUCUAGAUGUCCAUGAGAGUUUUGAUGUUGUUGAUGCGAGGUUGUGACAGCUCUAGAUGUCCAUGAGAGUUUUGAUGUCGUUGAUGCGAGGUUGUGACAGCUCUAGAUGUCCAUGAGAGUUUUGAUGUCGUUGAUGCAGGGUUGUGACAGCUCUAGAUGUUCAUGAGAGUUUUGAUGUCGUUGAUGCGAGGUUGUGACAGCUCUAGAUGUUCAUAAGAGUUUUGAUGUUGUUGAUGCGAGGUUGUGACAGCUCUAGAUGUCCAUGAGAGUUUUGAUGUUGUUGAUGCGAGGUUGUGACAGCUCUAGAUGUUGAUGCGAGGUUGUGACAGCUCUAGAUGUCCAUGAGAGUUUUGAUGUCGUUGAUGCGAGGUUGUGACAGCUCUAGAUGUUCAUGAGAGUUUUGAUGUCGUUGAUGAGAGGUUGUGACAGCUCUAGAUGUUCAUGAGAGUCUUGAUGUCGUUGAUGCGAGGUUGUCCACUCUAGAUGUCCAUGAGAGUUUUGAUGUCGUUGAUGCGAGGUUGUGACAGCUCUAGAUGUUCAUGAGAGUUUUGAUGUCGUUGAUGCGAGGUUGUGCCAGCUCUAGAUGUUCAUGAGAGUUUUGAUGUCGUUGAUGCGAGGUUGUGACAGCUCUAGAUGUCCAUGAGAGUUUUGAUGUUGUUGAUGCGAGGUUGUGACAGCUCUAGAUGUCCAUGAGAGUCUUGAUGUCGUUGAUGCGAGGUUGUGACAGCUCUAGAUGUUGAUGCGAGGUUGUGACUGCUCUAGAUGUUCAUGAGAGUUUUGAUGUCGUUGAUGCGAGGUUGUGACAGCUCUAGAUGUUCAUGAGAGUUUUGAAGUCG